Molecule: transfer RNA, 63 nt
Filed under: Nephropsis grandis
Lineage: Eukaryota; Metazoa; Arthropoda; Malacostraca; Decapoda; Nephropidae
Description: tRNA-Thr
Rfam family: tRNA
About the family: Transfer RNA (tRNA) molecules are approximately 80 nucleotides in length.
Source: RNAcentral
GUUUUAAUAGUUUAAACAAAACGUUGGUCUUGUAAUCCAAUAAUGAAAAUUUUUCUUAAAACU